UACGUAGGGUGCAAGCGUUGUCCGGAAUUAUUGGGCGUAAAGAGCUCGUAGGCGGUCUGUCGCGUCGGAUGUGAAAACCCGGGGCUUAACCCCGGGCCUGCAUUCGAUACGGGCAGACUCGAGUGUGGUAGGGGAGACUGGAACUCCUGGUGUAGCGGUGAAAUGCGCAGAUAUCAGGAAGAACACCGGUGGCGAAGGCGGGUCUCUGGGCCGAAACUGACGCUGAGGAGCGAAAGCGUGGGGAGCAAACAGG
This 253-nucleotide ribosomal RNA is filed under the name uncultured bacterium. Its description in RNAcentral is "partial 16S ribosomal RNA". It matches the Rfam family "Bacterial small subunit ribosomal RNA", at positions 524 to 776 of the family's 1533-position model. The record is from RNAcentral.